AGCGAACGCUGGCGGCAGGCCUAACACAUGCAAGUCGAACGAACCUUUCGGGGUUAGUGGCGGACGGGUGAGUAACACGUGGGAACGUGCCUUUAGGUUCGGAAUAACUCAGGGAAACUUGUGCUAAUACCGAAUGUGCCCUUCGGGGGAAAGAUUAAUCGCCUUUAGAGCGGCCCGCGUCUGAUUAGCUAGUUGGUUGAGGUAAUGGCUCACCAAGGCGACGAUCAGUAGCUGGUCUGAGAGGAUGAUCAGCCACAUUGGGACUGAGACACGGCCCAAACUCCUACGGGAGGCAGCAGUGGGGAAUCUUGCGCAAUGGGCGAAAGUCUGACGCAGCCAUGCCGCGUGAAUGAUGAAGGUCUUAGGAUUGUAAAAUUCUUUCACCGGGGACGAUAAUGACGGUACCCGGAGAAGAAGCCCCGGCUAACUUCGUG
This 434-nucleotide ribosomal RNA is filed under the name uncultured bacterium. RNAcentral's name for it is "partial 16S ribosomal RNA". It matches the Rfam family "Bacterial small subunit ribosomal RNA", at positions 29 to 507 of the family's 1533-position model. The record is from RNAcentral.